UCGUGCUAAGCGGGGAGAUAGCGGUGCCCUGUACUCGCAAUCCGCUCUAGCGAGGCUGAACUCCUCUUGGAGGUUUGCCAUUCCGAGCCACUGACGACAGUCGGUCGGCGUUGAUAGUUGGGUCCUGCGCGGCGGAAAGCCGUGAACCCCGUCAGGUCUGGAAGGAAGCAGCGGUAAGCGGUGUCUUCCGGGUGCCGCAGGGUCGCCUGGCUUGAGUCGCCGCUGUAGCCAUGCUCGCGGCUGGGAAUCGAAUUGAGGUGCACGA
This 265-nucleotide signal recognition particle RNA is filed under the name Chloroflexota bacterium. RNAcentral describes it as "Chloroflexi bacterium signal recognition particle sRNA large type". It matches the Rfam family "Bacterial large signal recognition particle RNA". From Rfam's summary of the family: The signal recognition particle (SRP) is a universally conserved ribonucleoprotein involved in the co-translational targeting of proteins to membranes. Archaeal SRP consists of a 7S RNA and homologues of the eukaryotic SRP19 and SRP54 proteins. Lineage: Bacteria; Bacillati; Chloroflexota. The record is from RNAcentral.